UUUGAAUGAGUGUCGACCACAAUAAGGAACAUGUGAUCCAUGAAAGGUCCAGCAUAGUCAAUGUGAAUGCGUUGCCAUGGGGCAACAGGCCAUUCCCAAGUGUGGACAGGGGCAAUCUGAGGCCAGGCCACCACACAUAACUUCUAGCAAGACUUUUCAUCUUAACUACCCCCAUGUGCCCAUCAUGCAGCGAGUUUAGAACUUUGGAUCGCAGUUUGGGAGGUACAACAACGCGUGACCCCCACAGGACACAUCCUUGGGACACAGUAAGUUGGUCUUUUCUGGUGAAAUAGUCCUUAAGUUCAGUAUCUGCAUGCAUUGGCCAGCCAUUAACAGUUAAGUCAUACACUCGAGAUAGCAGAGGGUCGUUUCUUGUUUCUUUGCUUAUUUGAGCGCAAGUCACCGGAAGUGGUUCCAUUUGCAG
Syngnathus typhle (broad-nosed pipefish) is the source of this 424-nucleotide long non-coding RNA. RefSeq lists it as uncharacterized. NCBI's taxonomy places the organism in Eukaryota, Metazoa, Chordata, Actinopteri, Syngnathiformes, Syngnathidae. The record is from RefSeq and is a predicted model, not a curated record. The transcript has 2 exons.